RNAcentral lists this ribosomal RNA (488 nucleotides) under Staphylococcus aureus. RNAcentral describes it as "partial 16S ribosomal RNA". The stretch from base 2 to 396 matches the Rfam family "Bacterial small subunit ribosomal RNA", at positions 929 to 1335 of the family's 1533-position model. The record is from RNAcentral. Lineage: Bacteria; Bacillati; Bacillota; Bacilli; Caryophanales; Staphylococcaceae.
CGGUGUGAACUUGUGGUUUUAUUCGAAGCACGCGAAGAACCUUACCAAAUCUUGACAUCCUUUGUAUAUAAAGAGAAGAGUCUUCCCCUUCGGGGGACAAAGUGAUAUGUGGUGGAUGGUUGUCGUUUCUCGUGUCGUGAGAUGUUGGGUUAAGUCCCGCAACGAGCGCAACCCUUAAUCUAAUUGAAAAAAUAAGUUGGGCACUCUUGGUUGACUGCCGGUGACAAACCGGAGGAAGGGGGGGAUGACGUCAAAUCAUCAUGCCCCUUAUGAUUUGGGCUACACACGUGCUACAAUGGAUAAUAAAAGGGCAGCGAAUCCGCGAGGCAAGCAAUCUUUUUUAAUUAUUCUCAGUUCGGAAUGGAAUCGGAACUCACUACAUGAAGGGGGGAUUCCCCGCUUCCAAAAAACCAGGGCCGGUAUUUUUCCGGGCUUUACCCCCCCCGUUAAUAACCAUUUUUUUUUUUUUUUUAUCGGGGCCCCCCCCC